Molecule: ribosomal RNA, 445 nt
Filed under: uncultured bacterium
Lineage: Bacteria
Description: partial 16S ribosomal RNA
Rfam family: Bacterial small subunit ribosomal RNA
Source: RNAcentral
GUGAGGAAUAUUGGUCAAUGGGCGGGAGCCUGAACCAGCCAAGUCGCGUGAAGGAAGAAGGAUCUAUGGUUCGUAAACUUCUUUUGCAGGGGAAUAAAGUGCAGGACGCGUCCUGUUUUGUAUGUACCCUGAGAAUAAGGAUCGGCUAACUCCGUGCCAGCAGCCGCGGUAAUACGGAGGAUCCGAGCGUUAUCCGGAUUUAUUGGGUUUAAAGGGUGCGUAGGUGGUUUGAUAAGUCAGCGGUGAAAGUUUGCAGCUUAACUGUAAAAAUGCCGUUGAAACUGUCGGACUUGAGUGUAAAUGAGGUAGGCGGAAUGCGUGGUGUAGCGGUGAAAUGCAUAGAUAUCACGCAGAACUCCGAUUGCGAAGGCAGCUUACUAAGCUACAACUGACACUGAAGCACGAAAGCGUGGGGAUCAAACAGGAUUAGAAACCCGGGUAGUCC